GUAGCUGGAGCUAAGGGUCCUAAAGGGAUUUGGAGUUAUGUUUAUGUAAGACAGAGUCCGGGUUGGGAGCCGGGGGUGUGGCAGUAGGCUUAAUGUGGACAGAGUUGACCGACGUACUUGACAGAAAGUACAAUGAUCCAGCUGCUGUGUGAUCCAAGGAGAUUGGCUUUCUGCUAGGAAGAGAGAGCUGCGGAACCCACGAAAUAGCAGAGGGAAGCAGGGC
Molecule: long non-coding RNA, 223 nt
Organism: Trichosurus vulpecula (common brushtail)
Lineage: Eukaryota; Metazoa; Chordata; Mammalia; Diprotodontia; Phalangeridae
Exons: 3
Source: RefSeq, a predicted model, not a curated record